AUGAUAGUGUCGAACCAAGUGGAACAAAGAAAGAAGAUCUGGAUGACAGAGAGAAAAAAGAUGAAACUCCUGCACCUGUAUAUGGGGCCAAGUCAAUUCUGGAGAGCUGGGUAUGGAGUAAGCAACCAGGGAUGUUCACGGAACGCCAGGCACCAAAGGGCCGGAAGCAUCCCCCUACAGGACCAGCACUUGGCCCUGGCCAUCCUGCUGGAGCUGGCUGUGCAGAGAGGCACGCUGAGCCAAAUGUUGUCUGCCAUCCUGUUGUUGCUUCAGCUGUGGGACAGUGGGGCACAGGAGACUGACAAUGAGCGUUCUGCCUAAGGCACCAGCGCCUCGCUUUUGCCCUUGCUGCAAAGGUUCCAGGGCAUCAUUUGCCGUAAGGAUACACCCCACUCUGAGGACAACAUGCACGUGAGUGUCAUGAUGGAACUUUGUGUUUAGGUGGCACUCGAGUCUAGUUAUUUUUUACGCAAGACCAGCGUGCUUGUGCACGGCAGUGUUUUUCUCUGGUGUGUGUGUGUUUGGUGGUAACAGCAGCAAGUCAGAUGAGACAGGUGUGGGAGGCCACUUGUUUGUGGAGAAGACUCAGAUCAGUGCGCGCCGACUUCCUUGUCAGCACAGAACCAAGCUUGAAACAUGCACUUUUAAAUCAAUACCAGAAAAGAACAACGAAAAUAGUGGCUUGCUUUGUUGGCCCUUCCUUUGUACUGAGCUCUGUGCAGGGCAUGUCACCUGAGCUGUCACUGUGUUUAGUACCAGCCCCCCCCUUAAUAGGUGUGGACGUCUUCCUGAACAGCCUGAAGCAGACGGUGGUGACCCUGGCAAGCAGCACAGACGUGCUGAGCACCGUGCAGUCGGCCUCCCAGGCCAUGCUGCAGAGCGGCUGGUCCAUGCUGUUGCCCACCGCCGAGAAGCAGGCCCGGGCACUCUCUGCUCUCCUGCCCUGCGGAGUUUCAGGCAAUGAAGUGAACAUAAGUCGAGGUCGUCGAUUCGUGAUUGAUCUUCUGGUGGGCAGCUUGAUGGCUGCUGGAGGGUUGGAGUCAGCCUUACACGCAGCCAUUACUGCAGAGAUCCAGGAUAUUGAAGCCAAAAAAGAAGCACAGAAGGAAAAGAAAUUGAUGAACAGGAAGCGAAUGCCUCAACAUUUCAUAGAAGGAGGACUCCAUUGGAUAAAGACCUUAUUAAUACGGGGAUCUGUGAGUCUUCUGGCAAACAGUGUUUGCCUCUGGUUCAGCUCAUACAACAGCUUCUUAGGUAAAUCAUAUUAG
This 1268-nucleotide long non-coding RNA is filed under the name Pan paniscus (pygmy chimpanzee). RNAcentral describes it as "lncRNA (ENSPPAG00000044646.1)". Lineage: Eukaryota; Metazoa; Chordata; Mammalia; Primates; Hominidae. The record is from RNAcentral.